ACGAACGCUGGCGGCGUGCCUAAUACAUGCAAGUCGAACGAACGGAGGAAGAGCUUGCUCUUCCAAAGUUAGUGGCGGACGGGUGAGUAACACGUGGGCAACCUGCCUGUAAGUUGGGGAUAACUCCGGGAAACCGGGGCUAAUACCGAAUAAUAAGUGGUGGCGCAUGCCACGGCUUUGAAAGAUGGUUUCGGCUAUCGCUUACAGAUGGGCCCGCGGUGCAUUAGCUAGUUGGUAGGGUAAUGGCCUACCAAGGCAACGAUGCAUAGCCGACCUGAGAGGGUGAUCGGCCACACUGGGACUGAGACACGGCCCAGACUCCUACGGGAGGCAGCAGUAGGGAAUCUUCCGCAAUGGACGAAAGUCUGACGGAGCAACGCCGCGUGUAUGAAGAAGGUUUUCGGAUCGUAAAGUACUGUUGUUAGAGAAGAACAAGGAUAAGAGUAACUGCUUGUCCCUUGACGGUAUCUAACCAGAAAGCCACGGCU
RNAcentral lists this ribosomal RNA (488 nucleotides) under Listeria welshimeri. Its description in RNAcentral is "bacterial SSU rRNA". It matches the Rfam family "Bacterial small subunit ribosomal RNA", at positions 29 to 498 of the family's 1533-position model. The record is from RNAcentral. Lineage: Bacteria; Bacillati; Bacillota; Bacilli; Caryophanales; Listeriaceae.